AUAUGACAGUUCUCAGACCUUAUUAAGCACAAACUCAAUAUUCUAAGAGAUUUAAUGGAGUUCGAGCUCAGUGAUCAUUGGUAGAUUGAAGCAAUUAUCUACACUGGUUUUGGGCAUUAACUAUGGAGGCUAGAGUGCAAGACCAAUUCCUGUCAAUUAAGCAUGAGCCUUAAAGCUUCCGGUCUUUUCCGUGGAGCACUGUUCUGACAUAAACGCUCCCUCAGUGUGCCUGUUAGAUGUUUCAGAUGCGCUGCCAUCCCUGUGAAAGCUAAAAAUAGAAGCUUGUCUGUCUCUCUCUCCUUUUUCAAGCCACAUUGCCGUUCUUCCCUGUGAGUGUGAGUUAGAGAGAGGACACAUUCAAAUUCACUUUCAUCAUGAUUCAGCAUUCUCAUCUGGGCAAGGAAGGUAUCCGCUUUAAGAAAACAGAUCUCUGGGACUUUGGAAGACGUCCACUGGAAAAUGCUGAAUGGGUAACUGUGCUGCUGAAAGCUGCCAAGCGCUCCGAUGACGGCGAUGCUCAGCGUCUCGACCAUCCCGCGCGGAUCAGGACCAGAUCAGGACUGCAGACGACGACUAUUGAUCAA
This is a non-coding RNA of Pimephales promelas (fathead minnow), 584 nucleotides long. The record is from RefSeq and is a predicted model, not a curated record. Lineage: Eukaryota; Metazoa; Chordata; Actinopteri; Cypriniformes; Leuciscidae.